UACGUAGGGUGCAAGCGUUGUCCGGAAUUAUUGGGCGUAAAGAGCUUCGUAGGCGGCUCGUCGCGUCGGCUGUGAAAACCUGGGGCUCAACCCCGGGCCUGCAGCCGAUACGGGCGAGCUAGAAUUCGGUAGGGGAGACUGGAAUUCCUGGUGUAGCGGUGAAAUGCGCAGAUAUCAGGAGGAACACCGGUGGCGAAGGCGGGUCUCUGGGCCGAUAUUGACGCUGAGGAGCGAAAGCGUGGGGAGCGAACAGG
This 254-nucleotide ribosomal RNA is filed under the name uncultured bacterium. RNAcentral's name for it is "partial 16S ribosomal RNA". It matches the Rfam family "Bacterial small subunit ribosomal RNA", at positions 524 to 776 of the family's 1533-position model. The record is from RNAcentral.